Anguilla rostrata (American eel) is the source of this 2388-nucleotide long non-coding RNA. RefSeq lists it as uncharacterized. The transcript has 2 exons. The record is from RefSeq and is a predicted model, not a curated record. NCBI's taxonomy places the organism in Eukaryota, Metazoa, Chordata, Actinopteri, Anguilliformes, Anguillidae.
UUCAAAUGGUCGAUACAUUUCCACACUUACAGACACAGAACAUGUUAUACACACAUUGCAGGAUUUUCUAAGCAAUUAGAAGUCAAACACUAAGCUUUUUGUCAAGGUACCCAAAUGCAGAGUAAGGAAAGAAACUCAAAAAAGGGAAAAUUAACAAAGACUUUACUAAAAAAAGGCAAACACAAACAGGGAACACAAAAGGCCACGAGGGGCAAAAACACAAACUCCAAAAAAUCUAAGAAAAACAGAAAACAAGAGGAGCUCAAAACACAGGCAGGGCAGAACACAGGCAGGCAGAGUACACGGGUAGGUACAUACGGUAAGAAACAAACAUAAAAGAAACGCAAGAAGCUACAUACAGGUAAGGAACAAGCACAAGUCAGGAACAAGCACAAGGAACCAGCACCUGAGCCAAGGGGACAAGGAACUUAAAUAGACAGGGGUAACAAGACACAGGUGAACUCAAAGAACAGUCAAACCAGGGGGAAGGGAAACGAGAGGCAGGUGGGGAGGAUGAUUAAAUAACGAGACAAUAAUAAAAUAAUUUAAAGCAAUAAUAAAAUUAACCAACAGGGGAAUGAGCAGGACACAAAACAGAAGUGCCGCCAUCUGGCGGCCCAACAGGGAAAAACAGACAGAAACACAGAACCAUGACACUUUUAGCACAUGACUCAGACAGACUUUAAAUAAUAUUUAUACUUAGGGGGAAUGUAUGAGAUAUGCUUCUUCAGAAUGAUCAAAUGGUCAAAUCAACAAAGCCAGGUUCACACCAUAAAACUUGAAUAGUUUAUUCUGUGUUUCCUCCUUAUCUACUUCAUUCAUUAUCCUACCGACCACAUCAUAAUCAAUGCUCUUACUUUUCCCUUUGGUCGGUAUCUACUGUGCAUCAACCAAGAACAACACCUGUUCACAGUAGCCAACUUCAGGACACAUAGGUCGAAAAAGUGCCCACGUGAUGCUAUUUCAGCCAGUAAAAUGUGUUCUUUUCUUGCUUGCUUCCAUUAUUUUACAUUGUGGUUAUGUUGAUAAAAGCAGAAGUUGUAUUCUCUAUAAAUGAAAAUCACCUUCUGUGCUAUUACCCCAUCAAUAUGUUUAGCUAGUUGAUCUGGGCCAGUGUAUGAUAGACCACCUAACAGGACCACCUGUCAGGUGUACUGUCAGAUAGUAAGUUAACACCUGCAGUACACAACUAAUGCUGUGUGGCCCUGCUCCAGACUGCCACACAGUGUUAUAUGCAUGUUAUAAUUACGUUACUGAUUCUUAUAGAUAACAUUAUUAUAUGCAUUAGAUAAUUGCCAGAAGUGUCACCUUAACUUCCAUUCUGCUGACUGUUCAGUGACAGUCCACAGAUUAUAUCAGAAACAAUGACUGGUUUUAAGAUAACCACCUGCAUUCUUCUCUUAUUCUGUAUACAUGUUUGGUAAACAAUACAGUCAACUUCUGAAAGGUAUUCUGCAGUUACUUUAUUCAUUAGUUGAAUAUUAUUUUUUAAAUUAUAUCAGAAUGAAUCCAAGUUACAAUUGAAAAUUCAAGGAAUUAGGCAUCCAAGCAGCACUACAAGUGCUGUAAACCUAUUGUUUUUUCUUUCUUUUUUUCUUGGCUUGACCUGUAAUACAUUUUAGCUCAUAAAGCUUGCCAAACAUGUCAGACAUGUUUGGAUGGAUGGAUAAAAUAUAAUACAAAUGUCAAAAUGUAGACAUCUUCAAAAAUGAGCCUCAUGCCCUGUCUUUAUUGGAGUUACACAAUUUGGCACCAAGGCCCCUUUCCACAAAUCUGCCUCAAAGACCCAUAACAUAAUAAUCUUUUGGAAAACCCUUAAAAUGCUAUUUCUUAUACAAACAUUAACCGAUUUUGACAAAAUUGGUCAUACAGCAUCUGUAGACUUACCUCUGUACAACUUAGAUUUAACGUUUCUUGUUAUGUCCAAGGAUGGGUGAAUUUGUCCAAGGAUGGUGUGAAUUUCAAAUGCCUAAUACACUGCCUGUGGUUUGAGAAAAUAUCACACUUGUUGGUGAGAAUACUGACACUCUGGACACAACUUCAAAAAUGACAAAUUGGCUUGAGUGGUGGGACUAAAGUGUUUCCAUUAGUCCCAAUUUUGUCACAGAGAUCUCAAAUUAACCCUAGUAAUGCUCCAAGUGAUUAUCUAUAAGCACAUGAUCCCAGGGUGUAAGCCAUCUUGGAUUGUCUGCCAUUGUCCCUUCCAUUUAAAUUCAGUUGUUAAUAUAAUCAAGUUCUGAGUACUGUCCUCUUACAAUAUUGAUCAUUAACUUGCUUUCUUCCUUAAAAUGUUUGCAAAUUAAUUUACUUCUAGUAUAACAGAAAAUAGGUUUUGCUUUUUCAGGUAUUAUUGAUUUUUUUUCUGGUAUGCAUUCUACGUAUGUUUUU